Molecule: transfer RNA, 72 nt
Filed under: Fukomys damarensis (Damara mole-rat)
Lineage: Eukaryota; Metazoa; Chordata; Mammalia; Rodentia; Bathyergidae
Rfam family: tRNA
About the family: Transfer RNA (tRNA) molecules are approximately 80 nucleotides in length.
Source: Rfam by way of RNAcentral
GGCAGUGUAGCUCAGUGGUAGAGUGCUUGCCUAGCAUGCAGAAGGCCAUGAAUUCAAUCCUUGGCACUGCAA